RNAcentral lists this long non-coding RNA (327 nucleotides) under Elaeis guineensis (African oil palm). Its description in RNAcentral is "long non-coding RNA (EGUI_LNC016583)". The record is from RNAcentral. Lineage: Eukaryota; Viridiplantae; Streptophyta; Magnoliopsida; Arecales; Arecaceae.
GUGGCGGGCUCCAUUAAUCCAUAUAUCCGGUCACUUCGCCAUUCUUUUGAGGAACUUAUGGUGAUGAGGUGCAUGAACAGUGGCUGAUAAUAAUUAUGAUGAUGAUGGAGAGAGAUUCUCGCUAGCUAGCCCCAUUUUAUUCUCUAUCUUUUGAGAUUUUUGAUUGGGAGGUGGUGUUGGGAAAUAAUGGAGUGCUUGUGUGGAAUAAUGGAAUUCUGCUAUCUAUCCAGCCUAAAAGUAGAGUGGAGGAGCCUUUCUGCCAUCGUAGUUUUGGACGGGUCAUUGCCCAUGUUUGUUAGAGGGUGGAGGGGUCGGAGGGCCUCUCUC